GCUAGAGUCGUCAGAGAACAGGGAAC
RNAcentral lists this non-coding RNA (26 nucleotides) under Rattus norvegicus (Norway rat). Lineage: Eukaryota; Metazoa; Chordata; Mammalia; Rodentia; Muridae. The record is from RNAcentral.